GACAGAGGGUGCAAACGUUGUUCGGAAUUACUGGGCGUAAAGCGAGUGUAGGCGGUCUGCUAAGUCGGGUGUGAAAGCCCCGGGCUCAACCCGGGAAGUGCACUCGAAACUGGCAGGCUAGAGUAUCGGAGAGGUUGGUGGAAUUCUCGGUGUAGAGGUGAAAUUCGUAGGUAUCGAGAGGAACACCGGUGGCGAAGGCGGCCAACUGGACGAAUACUGACGCUGAGACUCGAAAGCGUGGGGAGCAAACAGG
RNAcentral lists this ribosomal RNA (253 nucleotides) under uncultured bacterium. RNAcentral's name for it is "partial 16S ribosomal RNA". It matches the Rfam family "Bacterial small subunit ribosomal RNA", at positions 524 to 776 of the family's 1533-position model. The record is from RNAcentral.